GGAAACUGUUACCAUCGCAAGCGACGAAGAGUUGAGAGGAAGAGGGGGAGGAAAGGAAGCAGAAAAGGAAGGAAGGGAAGGAGGGAAGGAAGGAGGAACAAAAAGGAGGACGAGCGAAAGAAGAGAGGACAGAAGAUGGGAGGACAACAAAAUAAAGAAGCCAGUUGUUGGAGAACAGAAAGAAAGAAGUCUGUAAUAAAAAGAGUAAAGCAGAUGAGUAAUCCGAGAGGCAUUGGAGUAAAACUGACACUUUAAUUUCAAGAAGUAAUACUAGAGAGGAAGAGGAAAGGGGUAAGUACCGGGGCGGGGGAGGAAGAAGAGGAGGAGAACACACACCAAAACUGAUAUUGAGGAAAGUCUUUAAUGGUUCGUAAUGUCUAAAUAAUUUACAAGAUGAAUAUGUACCAAAUAUAUGUCUGAUCAUUG
RNAcentral lists this long non-coding RNA (426 nucleotides) under Fukomys damarensis (Damara mole-rat). RNAcentral describes it as "lncRNA (ENSFDAG00000030107.1)". Lineage: Eukaryota; Metazoa; Chordata; Mammalia; Rodentia; Bathyergidae. The record is from RNAcentral.